GAUGAACGCUGGCGGCGUGCUUAACACAUGCAAGUCGAACGAUGAAGCCCAGCUUGCUGGGUGGAUUAGUGGCGAACGGGUGAGUAACACGUGAGCAACCUGCCCCUGACUCUGGGAUAAGCGCUGGAAACGGCGUCUAAUACUGGAUAUGUCCCGUCACCGCAUGGUGUGCGGGUGGAAAGAUUUUUCGGUUGGGGAUGGGCUCGCGGCCUAUCAGCUUGUUGGUGAGGUAAUGGCUCACCAAGGCGUCGACGGGUAGCCGGCCUGAGAGGGUGACCGGCCACACUGGGACUGAGGGACGGCCCAGACUGCUGCGGGAGGCAGCAGGGAGGAAGAUUGCACAAUGGGCGGAAGCCUGAUGCAGCAACGCCGCGUGAGGGAUGACGGCCUUCGGGUUGUAAACCUCUUUUAGCAGGGAAGAAGCGAUAGUGACGGUACCUGCAGAAAAAGCACCGGCUAACUACGUG
Molecule: ribosomal RNA, 467 nt
Filed under: uncultured bacterium
Lineage: Bacteria
Description: partial 16S ribosomal RNA
Rfam family: Bacterial small subunit ribosomal RNA
Source: RNAcentral